RNAcentral lists this ribosomal RNA (439 nucleotides) under Clavibacter michiganensis subsp. insidiosus. RNAcentral's name for it is "bacterial SSU rRNA". It matches the Rfam family "Bacterial small subunit ribosomal RNA", at positions 21 to 458 of the family's 1533-position model. The record is from RNAcentral. Lineage: Bacteria; Bacillati; Actinomycetota; Actinomycetes; Micrococcales; Microbacteriaceae.
GGCUCAGGACGAACGCUGGCGGCGUGCUUAACACAUGCAAGUCGAACGGUGAUGUCAGAGCUUGCUCUGGCGGAUCAGUGGCGAACGGGUGAGUAACACGUGAGUAACCUGCCCCCGACUCUGGGAUAACUGCUAGAAAUGGUAGCUAAUACCGGAUAUGAYGAUUGGCCGCAUGGUCUGGUCGUGGAAAGAAUUUCGGUUGGGGAUGGACUCGCGGCCUAUCAGGUUGUUGGUGAGGUAAUGGCUCACCAAGCCUACGACGGGUAGCCGGCCUGAGAGGGUGACCGGCCACACUGGGACUGAGACACGGCCCAGACUCCUACGGGAGGCAGCAGUGGGGAAUAUUGCACAAUGGGCGCAAGCCUGAUGCAGCAACGCCGCGUGAGGGAUGACGGCCUUCGGGUUGUAAACCUCUUUUAGUAGGGAAGAAGCGAAAGUG